GCGCUCGUAGUAUAGGAGUAAUAAGGUUUACUUAUUCUAUACACUGGUAGUAUGCAAGGUUGCCAUCCUUGCGACCCGGGUUCGAAUCCCGGCGAGCGCA
This 100-nucleotide transfer RNA is filed under the name Promethearchaeota archaeon. RNAcentral's name for it is "Candidatus Lokiarchaeota archaeon (permafrost metagenome) tRNA-Gly". It matches the Rfam family "tRNA". From Rfam's summary of the family: Transfer RNA (tRNA) molecules are approximately 80 nucleotides in length. Lineage: Archaea; Promethearchaeati; Promethearchaeota. The record is from RNAcentral.